AACGAAUAAUAAGACCAGUCAAUAUGAAGCCAAGAGUUUGCUCAAUUUGCAACGCGUAAACACCAUAACAUGUCAAAAAUUACCAUAUCUCACCAGCUGUACUCUGUGUGUUCCCCGAUGCCCUAUUGGCUUACUACUUUUCACCACCCCAAAGGAUAACAUCAACUCUCUCAUCAAAACCCUUUUUUUCUUCUGAAACCGCCAUUCCUAAAUCCUACUUGCUUUCCUUUUUCUGUCAAUCUCUCUGUUAAAACGUACACCCCACUCACACUCUCUUUCUCUUUCUUCACCUCAAACCCUAGUUUCACCUCAAGACAGAUAUACCCUAUUCUUCUUUCUCUCUCUAGCUUCUCGUACUAUACAGGUGGCUUAAAGUUUUUGCGUACAGGUUUGAAAGAUUGCAUCUUGCCUGAUUUGUGUACAAGUUUUGGGUUUGGUGUUUCAAGUUGUUGGGUUUAUUUUUGGGUGUAGAGUACAGUUGGACAGAUCUGGAGAUUUUGAGGAUUAGGGUUUUCAUGCAAAUGGGUUCAGCAAGUGGAUAAAGGUUAUCGUUUUGUUUUCUUUGGAUUCUAUCUACGUAGUGGAUCUUUAAAUUUCUGUAGGUAGCUAUCAGACAAGUUGGAUAUAUCUUGUAAGAGAUAUUGUUUUCAAGAAGUUGUUUUUAUUUUCUGUUGAUAUUUUCGCUUGUUGGACCAUGGCGAAUCGAUGGUGGGCUGGAAAUGUAGGGUUGAAUCAUCAGAUGACAUCUUCGGGACAACCUCCGUCGCUACACUUGAGGGACACGGCGGAGGAGGAGAAGCCGCGGUUGAACAGGGUUGGGCAGGUUAGGAUGGAGCAAGAGUUCUUGGAAAAUGCGACGAAUAGUACAGGAAGCAAUUCGAACAAGAACCAUAACCAUAUCCCCAUGAAUGAUGAUCACGAUGAAAAUGAUGAAGAGUUUGAAGAACAGGAACAUAAUAAUGUCGGGGGUGGAGGGUCGUUGGAGAUCUCGGAACCGACGAGCUCUGGCGGUGGUCGGCGGCCGAGAGGGAGACCACCUGGUUCAAAGAACAAGCCGAAACCACCCAUUGUGAUCACUAAAGAGAGCCCCAACGCUCUCCGGAGCCACGUAUUGGAAAUCAGCAGUGGUAGUGACAUUUCCGAGUGUAUAGCAACAUUCGCACAGCGGCGCCACCGUGGCGUUUCGGUAUUAAGCGGCACUGGCAUCGUAACCAACGUCACCCUCCGACAACCGGCGGCACCAGGCGGUGUGUUAAGUCUCCAAGGGAGGUUUGAGAUUCUAUCGCUCUCGGGUGCAUUCCUCCCCGCACCAUCUCCGCCGGGGGCCACCGGGCUAACAGUGUAUUUAGCUGGCGGACAAGGUCAGGUUGUGGGUGGGACGGUGGUGGGCCAACUUGUGGCGUCUGGUCCAGUUAUGGUGAUUGCAGCCACCUUCACGAAUGCGACUUAUGAGAGGCUGCCAUUGGAAGAUGACGGAGGAGGUACAGGUGAAGGUAGUGAAAUGCAAUUACAGCAAACACAAGGGGUAAAUUCUGGAAACAGUCCUAAAUCUGGAGGGGGUGCUCCUCAGACAGACAACAUACCAUCUUCCUCGAUGCCAAUUUACAAUCAACCCCCUAAGAUAUUACCAAAUGGUCAAAUGCAUCAAGAUAUGUUUUGGGCUACACCCCCACGUCCUCCCCCAUCUAAUUUCUAGCUAUUCUCAAAGCAACUUCCUCUUUGGUAGAAGAAUAGAGUAGAAACUAAAAAAAGAUGUUAAAGAAGGAAGUAAUGGUGGUUUCAGUUUGUGUAAGAUAAAGAAGAUUGCGGGGUUCAAUCAUGUUUCACCAGCUCAUUUGCUUUGUUUCCAAGAAUCAUCCACUUGCACCAAGAGAAAAAGAUAUUUUAAUAUAUUUUCUAAUAUCGUAAUUCUAUGCAACUGUGCUUGGGUUUUCAUUGGAUUGUGAAUCUCUAUGUCAAAGAACAAUUGUUCAAGUAGAAAUAUUAGUUAGAUUGGUUAGAUAAAUAGUUAAUUAAAUUAAAUUAAUUAAAUGUCUACGUAAUCUUUUAAUGACGACUACUAAAUAUUUGGUCCGA
Molecule: non-coding RNA, 2076 nt
Organism: Lactuca sativa (garden lettuce)
Lineage: Eukaryota; Viridiplantae; Streptophyta; Magnoliopsida; Asterales; Asteraceae
Source: RefSeq, a predicted model, not a curated record